CAGAAACUGAAGUCAGUUCUGCUGGUUCAAUAUUCAGAGUGAUUGUGAUUAUCAUUGAGUUUGCAGUGUUUGCUGCUCCUACUGUGAUUCUUCUUCAGAUCAUCUGUGCAAGAAGAGCUGGGAGGAAGAACUCACAGCACCGAGAGGAAAUAGUGAUGAAUACAGUAUUACAAUAAAAUACUCUCUACAAAAAACAGGCCAGAGUACACUGUAAAAUAAAUAGAUAAAUAAAAACAAAGUAAAAUAUCUUAAUUCAAAUAUAGUGAAAAACAAUUAUUUUACAGAUAUUUUUCAUUAAAAGUUUCAGUGAAAAUGUUAUUUUACGGAUUUAUCCAUUUUAAAUAGGUAAAGAUAAUUUAAUUUGACUAUUUUUGA
Molecule: long non-coding RNA, 375 nt
Organism: Carassius gibelio (silver crucian carp)
Lineage: Eukaryota; Metazoa; Chordata; Actinopteri; Cypriniformes; Cyprinidae
Exons: 3
Source: RefSeq, a predicted model, not a curated record